GAGGCUCAGAGAGGGUCUCGACCGCCGCUUAGGGGUAAGAGGCCGCUCGCCGUCGCGCCGGGAGGCGACGAAGGACGUCGUAGGUCUAGGGGCAGGGCGACGGAGUGGAGGCGUCGGAGCUACGUCGGACCUAGAGUGGAGGCAGGCAAGGCGGUGCGACCUAAGGGGAGGGGGAUCGACCGCUGAACGUACCUCAGUUACAAAUGGUAAAUAGUUCAAGACUAGAGUCGAAGUUAGGUAAUUAAACGAGUCGAGGGCAAUGAGCAAUUUAAUACCUAUAUUCAAGUAGACGAUCUAUUCGAGUUUCCUCUAUACCUUGGAGCCGUCACCUACUGGUGUUAGCAUGAUUGACUACUAAACCACCACCUCUAGAACAGAGCCGACGGUGACUUCAGAAAAACGGCAAAGUUUACACAGAGGUGCAGAACCGAACGGAAGAGUAGACUAGACGUGAUGGCGGUCUUCGAGGGUUCUUGAGGGCAGCCAGAGAACAUGGUUUUUUCUCUCGUACCGUGACGGUAGGUAGAACGCCCUGAAGGGAGUUCACUGUCCCUAUAACUGAGUUGUGAAUCGAAACACGUUACAAUACUCGCAGGGAACCUCGAAUUCGUAACGUCGUUGCCGGAUGAAGAAACAAUAGUACCACCAUACGGGAGCUUUCCUUAAAGGCUGCGGUAGCACACGUUAGGUCGUUGAGUUCUCACCUACAGUGAAGGUCUAUGACUUGGACCUGGUCGGCAGACAAUACGGUCAAUGUUCAACACAAAACUAGGUAACACCAGAGUUAUGAAAAUACAGAAGUUUAAACUCAGUUCAGGUUCACCACCUAAACUGUGACUUCAAUGCCAUAAGAAGAGACUCAUAAGCUGGACCAGAUUAACAGAUACCCUUUGGAGUCUAUAUAAAAAACCACUAAGUGAGAAACAUUUACCCCACAACAUACACCUCGUGAAUACCUCCGUAAUGGAAGACCGUGAGCUACGUGGACUAUGUACGUGUGUCGUCGAGUUAGUAUCCUGGUAAGUCAACGGUCCCAAAGGUAUACCUGGUCUCUCCAAAAUAACGAAACUGCCCGCAGAAACCGUCAGUAGACCCCAGAAUACGAUACGUGUUGUUCUUAACCUACCAACGUACUAGGCUUAAACCUCAAACCUUCCUAUACUAUCCACCCACCACUUCGUAGCAGAUUUAUACUUGUUACAUAAACCCUCCUUGUAUUACGAGGCAUGAUUGUUACUUCCUAAUACCAUGAAACUAAUACUUUAGGACCGUAAACUGGACCUCUCUCUCGAUCAAUAGGAACGACUGUGUUAACGACUAUUAUUCUAGUAGAGUAUAUCGUAGUCAUGACCUUUUCAGACGGUCUAAGAUUUGUAAGGUUCGAAGCAAUUGGAUAUAGCUUCAGAUGAGAUACACGGUAUGAUACCGUUCAAAGGUCGAACACACGAAGUUCGUCGAGUUCUGUUUACAAUCUUAUAAAUGGGAUACUUACUACAUUAGAGAUCCAUAGAAAACACGCGAUCGACACGGUUUGUCGACAAUACAUACAUGACUUAACAACCGAAGCAAUACACAACACAAGAAGAAGAUUAACCGUGAAGAGUAAAGAGAACUAUUUUCCUACACACUCCGUCACACUCGAAAGAUAUGUUACCGACCCUCUUGAGAACAUUAGAACGGUCCAAAGCCAGAGAACCGUAUCGUCGUCGGUCGAGAGUAUACAAUCCAACUAAAUGGUCUCCUCAAUUACAAAGUC
Molecule: ribosomal RNA, 1756 nt
Filed under: Triticum aestivum (bread wheat)
Lineage: Eukaryota; Viridiplantae; Streptophyta; Magnoliopsida; Poales; Poaceae
Description: partial small subunit ribosomal RNA
Source: RNAcentral